ACAGUUUGACUAACGGAUGUAUUAGAUUGUCCCAAAAUUAACACUUUAAGUAUGACUCUGGGAUGAAAAAAACUUGAUGUACUAAAUGUUGAAAACCACGAAAUAUAAGGGUAGUAAACAGAGUUUAACCCAAAAAAGAAACAAGUGUGGAAGGAGAAAAGAAAAAUGCAUAAAUCACUGCUGUUGUUGUUUUAUGUAGGGGUGAAUUUUUUUGCCAAAUUGCUGUGCCAAUCGUGCCAUAUCGAUUUUAUGCCAAAUUUUUUGUGCCAAUCAGUAAUAGUAUGGUAUUGUACCGUACCAAAAUUUUAUGGUACGGUAUUGGUAAUGGAUACCAGUACCACGAUAUUACCGUACCGUAUCGAAAAUAUAAUAUAAUAUAUAAUUAUAUUUCUUGCAGUCCUAUUAGAUUAGGAAUAUAAUUGUAUAAAUCGUAGUAUAUCUUGAAAUAUCUCUUAUAUUCCGAUUAGGAGUUGAUUACCUAUUAAGAGUUGUAAUCCUAAAAGGGUAAGGAAUUAACCUUCCCUAAUACUGUAAAUAAAGGCACAAUGGGUGGAAUAGAAUACACCCACAAUUACACAUCUCUCUUCUCUCUCUAUGCCGCACUCUCUUCCUGUUACACCCAUCCCCAUUUAUAAAAAUAUAAUUAUGAAAUUAUCCCCAAAAUGUUAUUAAUUUAUCAAUUUAGUCCUAAUUCUAUUAGCCUAUCAGGAUCUAUAACUUUGAUUCUCUUUAUUCUUAAGCUGCCACGUGGCAGCACCCUAGCAAUCUCACAUUUCUUUCUCUGUCCCCUACCCCUCCCGUGACUUCAUCUUCUUCUUUCUGUCUCUCUUUUCUCUCCCUCUCGAAACCCUUAUCUCUCUCCGUCUCUUCACCUAGAUCGCACACACACUCACACGCAAAGGCACGCUAGUGCUUGAAGAAGGCACCACCAUCACCAAUCCCUCAUCAGCUCUCUCUUUAUUUCUCGUGCUGCGAGGACAAAACCCAGAAAACGAUCUCCGGCGAGAUUUCCCAUUUCUCCGAUUAGGUAAGCCUCGAGUUCUUCCUAUUUCAUCCUAGAAUCAUGUAUGAAUGUGUUUUAAAUGGGUUUAUUUCGUUGUGGUCAAGGUUUUAGAAUUAGGUCUGGAGAAGGCACACCCAGCUCCGGCGAGGCCAUGGGUGUCAAGGGAAUUUCUGGUCAUCUUUGGCCAUUCUACGGCAAAAGGAAGGUAUAAAGUUGUUCCUCUCGUCUUGUGUUUAAUUUUGGCACCUAGAUUGGAGUCUAAGGUUGUUAUUUGCAGUUGGCCGGAGCUGGGAAAGCUCCGGCAUUCUUCUCCGGUGCACCAGGCCUUUCAGGCCGUCUCCAAGGCACUCAGGCCUUAGGCCUGUGGUGAGUUCAGACCAAAACCCUAACCCAUUUCCUUUUUUAAUUUUAUUUAAAUUGUUUUAAUAACCCAAAAGGCCUUCGGGCCUUUUUGUUUAGGUCAUGUGGCCUGUUAGACCAACCCAAAACCUUUUUAGGUUUUAUUUAAUUUUUGUUUUAGAAAUUAAAGCCCUUGGGCCAUUUUAUUUAGGGCCUUAGGCCCGUGUGUAUAGAAACCUUUCAUUUAAGGCUUUAGGGCCAUUUAGGGCUUGGGCUUUCAACCAUUUCCCAAACCCAUUAACCUCAAAUCUAAACUCAAAACCCUUAGGACCUAAGUGGCCCAACCCAAAUCCAAGCCCAGUCUGACCUUUAACCAUUUGACCUAGUUGACCGUUGACUCGGUCAACGGUCAACGUUGACUUUAACUUUAACCAAUCAAUGGUCAAUGUUAACUUUAGAGUUGACUUUUCGGGGUUUCGUCCGGGACCUCUCUUAGGCUAAUUUCGACGUUCUGGACCCAUUUUUGAAGUCCGUUUUCCCAAAUUCAAUCGUUUGAAUACAGUUUGACUAAAGGUACCCCUUUAUGUGAAUAGGUGCAAUUAUUAGCGGUGAUUCCGUUAUUCCUUUUCGGUACAGCUUAGCACCAUCGGUUUACGGUGAGUGGACCCCUUCAAAAAGCAUGUUUUAAUAGUAGAAAUGCAUACAUGAAAAGCAUGAUUUAAUGAUUAUGUUUUAUGAAAUGUUUUAUGAGAUAACAUGCUUACGGAGGCUAGAUUGAAUUAUUACUAUUUUUCCUAUAAUCCAUGUUCUUAUAGAAUAUCUGAUGGAUGACGAUAUGAUAUUUAUAACAUGUUUAGAACACCUCUUUAUAGUAUAGAUGAUGGAUGACUUUAUACUAUGAAGUUGCUUUUCAAUAUAGAUAUAUUCAAUAGUUUUGUACUUACCUAGUGGUCCUUUCCGCUACGGGACGUAGGGAUAGAUUCUGGUCCGUCCUGGGCAACGGUUUAGUGUUGGCAUAGGGCCUGGAGUAUGUUUCCUCUGGCUAUUUAGCACAGGGACGGGGAGCCAGCAUGGGGCCUGAAGUGUAUUUUCCUCUGACUGUCUGCUUAGAGACGGGGAGCCGGCAUAGGGCCUGGGGGUUAUCGGACAAUUCACUAGUGAUUAUUAUAUAUACAAGUUAUGAAUUUGAGACACUACACAACAUGUUAGGUUUCGGAAAAACCUAUGUUUAUUAUUAUAUAUGUGUUUUCAUAAAACCUGGGGGUUAGUAUGUUGAUAACUGUUUUAUUAUAUAUAGAUCAAAUUGGUCCACUCACAUUUGUUUUGACCCCCUUCAGGACCUAUGAAUGAGGAUUAUGAUCUAAGCUACAAGGCAUUUCCCUACCAGUGAUUUAGUGUUAUAUCUUCUUUGCUUCUGCACCUAUUGCAAUAUAGCACUUCUCUAUCUUAAGUUCCGCUUGUACUCUGUAAUAGACUUAUGCUCUGAACUUAUGUGUAUGACCAUAAUUUUUAUUAAUUAGUAGUUGAACUUUAGUUUGGUAUUAUUAGUUCCUAUUGCUUGUUUUAGCAUAUUUCUCAGCUUUUACUUAAAUUAAAUGGCUUUCGUCACCCUUCGGGUGUCGGCAAGCACGUGACCAUCCCGAGGUCCCGAGGACAUCGGGGUCGGGGCAUGUCACUCCCUCUCUUUAUGGCCUCCAUAAUUGUUCUGUAAAUUAUGCCUACAACACGAUAUCAGCACGCUCUUGAUGAUGCGCUAACAAGAGAGUUUGAUCUUCAAUUAGGGAAGUAUUACGUUUUAAUUAUUCUUUUUAGGGAACUUUAAUGAAAAGGGCUUGGGCUAAGUUUAUUGUAACAAAAAACCAUGCUAUAACUUUUUUUAAUGAAAAAGAAUCAAAAUUUAAUGAAAAACCCUUAAAUUUUAAUAAAAAUGACAAAAAAACUUAAUUUUUAAUGAAAAGGAGACAAUUAAAAAAAAAAAAAAAUCUGACGUGCUUGCAUGACCUUACUGUUUAUGAAACUGAACACUAUUUAUAAAAUUGAAACUAUUUAUGAAACUGCACUAUUUAUGAAACUAAACGGUACUAUAUUAUUUAUUGGUCAAAUUUCAUAAAUAGUGCCUAGUUUUUUGUCCACAUUCAUAAGUAGUGUCUAGUUCUUGAUCAUGUUUCAUAAAUAAUGCCUAUUUAUGGGUCCAGUUUCAUAAAUAAUGUAUAGUAUAUGGUACAAUUUCAUUAAUAGUAUCUCUUUCUUGCUUCAAUUUCAUAAAUAGUUUCUAGUUAUUGGUCUACUUUUAUAAAUAGUGCCUAGUUAUUGAUCAUGUUUCAUAAAUAUUGUCUAGUUCUUACUCCAGUUUCAUAAAUAGUGUAUAGUACAGUUUUAUAGAUAGUUUCCACCUAUUGGUUUAGUUUUGGAAAUAAUGCCUAAUUCUUGUUUUCGUUUCAUAAAUAGUGUAUACUUAUUGGUAAUGUUUCAUAAAUAGUGUCUACUUAUUGGUCUAGUUUCAUUAAUAGUGUCUACUUAUUGGUGAAGUUUUAUAAAUAGUGUUUAAUUCUUGGUUCAGUUUCAUAAGGUUUGAAACUUAGUCCCUUUUUGGUCCUGUAAAAGCACUCAUUGUGUCGAAAACGAUGACCCAAAAGUGACUCUUUAGAUCAAAACCUUGAGAAGAUUAUGUUCUCAGUAAUUAUAUUUAAAAAGCUGUUUUCAAUUACCAAAUUAAAAUUUCCUCACUUUUUCAUAUACCUACAAUAAUAAAUGUAGCUCUCCAUCAAAUUUCUUGAGCUUGGAUGUCAUCUUGGAGAAAUUUUUCCUUGUGUCCGUAACACAAAUGGUAUACCACAUUUAUAUAAGCGUGGUGGAAAAUUUUAUUUUUUAUGUUAUUAAUUUUUUAACAUAAGAAUCUCACAACUUGUAUGGAGUGUACCAUCCCGUGUUCUAGGCACAUUGAAAUGUUUCUCGUCAUCAUGACUACUAUUAGAAAACAGCACCACAAAAAUAAAACAUAAGAAUGUAAUUCAAUUCGAACUAUUUUUCUUAUUCUAUGCAACAAAAAAAAAAAAACUAAUAAUGUAGCUGACGAUGGGACAAAAGGUAGGAGAAGAAAAUGGACUAUUUGAAUUUGGUUUUUUUUUGGGGGGGGGGGGGAGGGGUACGCGCCUAGCACAAGUGGCUUUGUUAAGUUUUUUUUUUUUUUUUUGUUUU
RNAcentral lists this long non-coding RNA (4540 nucleotides) under Malus domestica (apple). RNAcentral's name for it is "long non-coding RNA (MDOM_LNC013922)". Lineage: Eukaryota; Viridiplantae; Streptophyta; Magnoliopsida; Rosales; Rosaceae. The record is from RNAcentral.